This 1368-nucleotide ribosomal RNA is filed under the name uncultured bacterium. RNAcentral's name for it is "bacterial SSU rRNA". It matches the Rfam family "Bacterial small subunit ribosomal RNA", at positions 94 to 1458 of the family's 1533-position model. The record is from RNAcentral.
CCCCCGUCACGGGGGAAGACCCCUAAGCAACCUACCCUAAAGACGAGGAUAACCAUUGGAAACAGUGGCCUUAAGAACUGGAUAGGAAGAUAAAAGGCAUCUUGUAUCUUUUAAAAGACCUAGGUAAUAGGUAUGCUUUAGGAGGGGCUUGCGCCAUAUUAGUUAGUUGGUAGGGUAAUGGCCUACCAAGACGAUGAUGUGUAGCUGGACUGAGAGGUUGAACAGCCACAUUGGGACUGAGACACGGCCCAAACUCCUACGGGAGCAGCAGUAGGGAUUUUCGGCAAUGAGGAACUCUGACGAGCAACGCCGCGUGAAUGACGAAGUACUUCGGUAUUGUAAAGUCUUUUAUCGAGGAAGAAAAGCAAAUGGCGAACCAUUUGUUUGCCGGUACUUGAUGAAUAAGCCCCGGCUAAUUAUGUGCCAGCAGCCGCGGUAAGACAUAAGGGGCAAGUGUUAUCCGGAAUUAUUGGGCGUAAAGGGUGCGUAGGCGGUCUAGUAAGUCAGUGGUGUAAUGGCAACGCUUAACGUUGUCCGGCUAUUGAAACUGCUAAACUUGAGUUAGAUAGAGGCGAGUGGAAUUCCAUGUGUAGCGGUAAAAUGCGUAAAUAUAUGGAGGAACACCAGAGGCGUAGGCGGCUCGCUGGGUCUUAACUGACGCUGAGGCACGAAAGCGUGGGGAGCAAACAGGAUUAGAUACCCUGGUAGUCCACGCCGUAAACGAUGAGUACUAAGUGUCGGGUUAAACCGGUACUGAAGUUAACACAUUAAGUACUCCCCCUGAGUAGUACGUACCCAAGUAUGAAACUUAAAGGAAUUGACGGGACUCCCCACAAGCGGUGGAUCAUGUUGUUUAAUUCGAAGAUACCCGAAAAACCUUACCAGGUCUUGACAUGUUUUUGCAAAAUGAUAGUAAUAUCGUGGAGGUUACCAGAAACACAGGUGGUGCAUGGUUGUCGUCAGCUCGUGUCGUGAGAUGUUAGGUUAAGUCCUAAAACGAGCGAAACCCUUAUCGUUAGUUGCCAGCACGUUAUGGUGGGGACUUUAACGAGACUGCCAAUGAUAAAUUGGAGGAAGGUGAGGAUCACGUCAAAUCAGCAUGCCCCUUAUGACCUGGGCUACAAACGUGAUACAAUGGCUGUUACAAAGGGUAGCUGAAACGCAAGUUCUUGGCCAAUCCCCAAAAACAGUCCCAGUCCGGAUUGAAGUCUGCAACUCGACUUCAUGAAGUUGGAAUCGCUAGUAAUCGCGAAUCAGCAUGUCGCGGUGAAUACGUUCUCGGGGUUUGUACACACCAGAGCCCGUCAAACCACGAAAGUUGGCAAUACCCCAAAACGGUAGCCUAACUCGUGUUUCGGAGCGGCGGUG